Molecule: long non-coding RNA, 169 nt
Organism: Carassius gibelio (silver crucian carp)
Lineage: Eukaryota; Metazoa; Chordata; Actinopteri; Cypriniformes; Cyprinidae
Exons: 3
Source: RefSeq, a predicted model, not a curated record
CACACACACACACACACUGACCUGAGCAAGAGAGAGUACAGGUGACACACACACACACACUGACCUGAGCAAGAGAGAGUACAGGUGACACACACACACACACACACACACACACUGACCUGAGCAAGAGAGAGUACAGGUGACACACACACACACACACUGACCUGAG